GGGCUGGGGCUCAGCGGUAGAGCAUUCAUCUCUCAUGUGUGAGGCCCUGGGUUCAAUCCUCAGCACCACA
This 70-nucleotide transfer RNA is filed under the name Marmota monax (woodchuck). RNAcentral describes it as "tRNA.Glu". The stretch from base 5 to 65 matches the Rfam family "tRNA", at positions 6 to 65 of the family's 71-position model. From Rfam's summary of the family: Transfer RNA (tRNA) molecules are approximately 80 nucleotides in length. Their secondary structure includes four short double-helical elements and three loops (D, anti-codon, and T loops). The record is from RNAcentral. Lineage: Eukaryota; Metazoa; Chordata; Mammalia; Rodentia; Sciuridae.